CAGUCGCCGCGGUAAUACGAAGGGUGCAAGCGUUACUCGGAAUUACUGGGCGUAAAGCGUGCGUAGGUGGUGGUUUAAGUCCGUUGUGAAAGCCCUGGGCUCAACCUGGGAAUUGCAGUGGAUACUGGAUCACUAGAGUGUGGUAGAGGAUAGUGGAAUUUCCGGUGUAGCAGUGAAAUGCGUAGAGAUCGGAAGGAACAUCUGUGGCGAAGGCGACUAUCUGGGCCAACACUGACACUGAGGCACGAAAGCGUGGGGAGCAAACAGGAUUAGAUACCCCAGUAGUCCCUGUCUCUUAUAC
RNAcentral lists this ribosomal RNA (301 nucleotides) under uncultured bacterium. RNAcentral's name for it is "partial 16S ribosomal RNA". It matches the Rfam family "Bacterial small subunit ribosomal RNA", at positions 509 to 807 of the family's 1533-position model. The record is from RNAcentral.